GGGCCUGUAGCUUAGUUGGUUAGAGCGCCUGGCUCAUAACCAGGCGGUCGCCGGUUCGAAUCCGGUCAGGCCCA
RNAcentral lists this transfer RNA (74 nucleotides) under Thermoplasmata archaeon. RNAcentral describes it as "tRNA-Ile". It matches the Rfam family "tRNA". Rfam says of the family: Transfer RNA (tRNA) molecules are approximately 80 nucleotides in length. Lineage: Archaea; Methanobacteriati; Thermoplasmatota; Thermoplasmata. The record is from RNAcentral.